Molecule: long non-coding RNA, 808 nt
Filed under: Lathyrus oleraceus (garden pea)
Lineage: Eukaryota; Viridiplantae; Streptophyta; Magnoliopsida; Fabales; Fabaceae
Description: Pisum sativum (pea) long non-coding RNA (PSAT_LNC023983)
Source: RNAcentral
AAAUAGGUGAGAAAAAACGGUCAAGAACGGCCCACUAACGCAGUUCUGUUACUGCAUGAUAAUGGUGAACGCCAUUAGGGGAAUGGCGAAUGUCAUUCCUUUAAUAUUUAAAUGACAUGACAUGCACUAGGGAUGGAGAACGCCAUCUGCACAUAAUGGUCUAAAAUGACUCUUUUGCUCGUUUUUAGCUCCUAUUUCGCCUCUUUUCCGCGAGGCUUCCAAAAUUCCAAUGAAAUCUGAUAACAACUGCAAAACAAAUAAAACGGAAGUAAAAUGCAAUAAAACAAAGACGGAUAAGAUGUGAAAUGAGCCUAAAAACACGAUACGAUUUCUCGUUAUCAGUGUAAACACAACAAAACAAAUAAUAAACAAAGCAAGGGAUCGAGGAAUACCAAAACGUGAAUUGAAGUUUUUUGACGUGUUGAUGGCUUGCUCCGGCGCAACAUGACUUUCAAGUGCAAAACUUCUAUUUUAUUUCAUUCUACUCCUCCCUCAAUAUCUUUCUUCUUCUCCCUUUUGAAAAAAAUCUUUUUCUUCUGUUGUGAUAAUUUGUUGUUGUGUGAGUGAAGGUUUUUUACUUUCUGCUUGUGAUUCAACUCGGUAUUGAAUUUUUUUUCAUGUUCUACAAUGUUCUUUUUUGCUCAAACAAAUUAGGAUUCUUUGCUCUUCAGUGUGUAUGUGUUGGUGUCUAAGGUUUCUUUUUUGUGUCUUUGAAAUGGAUAUUGGUACUACUGGUUUUUUUUUCUGUGUGUUGUAUGUUAUGGGCUAGUGUUGUAUGUUUCUCCUCCCCCUUCUAAGAGAACAAAAA